UCAUUGGUGGUCCAGUGGUUAGGAUUCGGCACUUUCACUGCUGUAGCCUGGGUUUGUUUCCCCUUCAGGGAA
Molecule: transfer RNA, 72 nt
Filed under: Equus caballus (horse)
Lineage: Eukaryota; Metazoa; Chordata; Mammalia; Perissodactyla; Equidae
Rfam family: tRNA
About the family: Transfer RNA (tRNA) molecules are approximately 80 nucleotides in length. Their secondary structure includes four short double-helical elements and three loops (D, anti-codon, and T loops).
Source: Rfam by way of RNAcentral